GGAGAGAUGCCAGAGUGGUCGAAUGGGCUCGCCUGGAACGCGGGUAGGCUCUUACGGGUCUCGAGGGUUCGAAUCCCUCUCUCUCCGCCA
Molecule: transfer RNA, 90 nt
Filed under: Candidatus Peregrinibacteria bacterium
Lineage: Bacteria; Candidatus Peregrinibacteriota
Description: tRNA-Ser
Rfam family: tRNA
About the family: Transfer RNA (tRNA) molecules are approximately 80 nucleotides in length. Their secondary structure includes four short double-helical elements and three loops (D, anti-codon, and T loops).
Source: RNAcentral